UGCUCAUUUACUUUUAGCACUAUUAAGACACGAUCUCCUUAUUUAUGCAUCCCCCGAAGGCACUGGCGCCUGGGAGCCAGGCCCUUGACCUCAGCCUUGUCACAAAGAGUGAACCUGGCCAGAUGAAGCAAAGGGAGUGAAAACCAGCCCAUAUUAAAGGCUUUUUUACUCUACGUAACCCAGGCUGCAAUGUGAGCUCCAGUAUGAGAGCAAAGCCUGCUCCCCAGUCCUGUCACUGCUGGUGCCCAGGGGAUGGGGGACAUGGCAGCAGUGCCAGCCUGGACCUGCCAGGACCAGGGCAGGGUGUCCUCCCAUCUGUAUAGCUCUGCAACACUGGGCAUGGCAAAAUGUACCCAAAAUCCUGAGAAAAUUCAGAUUUUGGGAAAGGACCCAGCAGCAACAAACACUGGGAAGGUCUCAUGGUCUCCUCCACAGUCUCAGACACAGACCUGGGGAUGGAGUCAAGAAAUCUGCAACAGCAGAGCUCUGCUCUUUUCUGCUUGGACAGAGCCCAGAAGUAUUGCUUUCAAGUUGGACAGUGAUAAAACACUUGGUGGCAGUGCCCUGCCUGCAGCCAGCUGCCAGAGCCAGCCUGGCACUGCUCACAUGCGAGUCACUUGGUGCUUUCCCCUUCUCUGCCCAGCUCAAGGAGGGGCAGAUAAAGAAUUCCAACGUUUCUUUGAAUUGACAACUUUCUGCAUGGCAUAUGGGGAAGCAAAUCUCAGCAGAGGCUGUUUUACUUCUUGUAGCACAACCUUGUGCAGCAGAACAGAAUUGGGCAAGAGAAAUUUGGGUUCUGCCCAGUGGCAGGGCAAAGGGGAAUAUCCAGGGGAGCCUUUAAGGAUCGUUUUAUCUCUUGGUAGCACAGCUGGGACUUGGAAAACAAAGAGACCAACCAAGCAGGGAAAGGACAGGCUUCCAACCCUUUUUAGUGCUUUGCUAUCCCUGCACAACCAACCACCAGCUCCACUCUGCCCUGUACAAAACACUGCACGAGAGAAAUCCUGC
This 1008-nucleotide long non-coding RNA is filed under the name Junco hyemalis (dark-eyed junco). RNAcentral's name for it is "lncRNA (ENSJHYG00000016894.1)". Lineage: Eukaryota; Metazoa; Chordata; Aves; Passeriformes; Passerellidae. The record is from RNAcentral.